Molecule: long non-coding RNA, 484 nt
Filed under: Pan troglodytes (chimpanzee)
Lineage: Eukaryota; Metazoa; Chordata; Mammalia; Primates; Hominidae
Description: long non-coding RNA NONPTRT017699
Source: RNAcentral
CAAGGCGCAGGGGCUCUGCGGCUGCAGGCCUGGUUGGUCACCCUGUCUGCAUCUGCUGGAUACCCACCCCCUCCAGAGACGGGGCUCACUGCCGCCACGGCAGGUCCCCAGGGGCGAGGUCUUCCGGCCCCACCGGUGGCACCUGAAGCACCUGGAGCCCGUGGAUUUCCUGGGCAAGGCCAAGGUGGUGGCCUCUGCCAUCCCCGACGACCAGGGCUGGGGCGUCCGCCCUCAGCAGCCACAGGGACCAGGAGCGAACCAUGAUGCCAGGUCCCUAAUCAUGGACUCCCCAAGAGCUGGCACCCACCAGGGCCCCCUAGAUGCAGAGACAGAGGUCGGUGCUGACCGCUGCACGUCGACUGCCUACCAGGAGCAGGUGCGUGGGCCUGGGCCUCUUCCCCUGCUGGGGGUCGGUGCUUCUGCUGCCUCCGCAGACUGGGGACCACAAUGGGACCAACAUGAGGUGGACAGAGCUGGACAGAGC